UCACCACGAUAACUUACAAGCAACUCACUGUACUUUGAUACCAGACUACCUGCAUUUCUAAUUCAGUGAUGAAAGAUUUUUGGGUACAGUCAAGUACUUGAAAAGUCGAUGUAUAAGUCAAGAUGGAAUUGACCCCUUCGAAUAAGUAAGAGUUAAUGUAUCAGUGUGUUUCAAUUCAGUAAAAUCUCGAUCGGGAUAAUCUAUAUGAUGGAUUUUGAAAAUUGAAAUACAAUAUAGAUAACUAUAUUAGGAUUGACAGUUAAAUCGUAGAUCACCUUGAGC
Molecule: long non-coding RNA, 282 nt
Filed under: Elaeis guineensis (African oil palm)
Lineage: Eukaryota; Viridiplantae; Streptophyta; Magnoliopsida; Arecales; Arecaceae
Description: long non-coding RNA (EGUI_LNC064568)
Source: RNAcentral